Molecule: long non-coding RNA, 10699 nt
Filed under: Capsella grandiflora
Lineage: Eukaryota; Viridiplantae; Streptophyta; Magnoliopsida; Brassicales; Brassicaceae
Description: long non-coding RNA (CGRA_LNC001206)
Source: RNAcentral
GUGUCAAAGAAGGGAAGUUCUUGGACUUCUGCAACCCCAAGCUUUUUCAACCCUAAGGCAAAGACGCCAGCAAGACCAUGAACACGUUGGGCAAUAGAUUUUAGACCUGCAGGUCCAUGGUAAACAGCAUACAUGGCAGCCAUGUUGGCAAGCAACGCCUGUAAGAAAAGGAAAAAACAUACACAAAAUGUCAGAGUAAGAGGAAAAGAUGAAGUUCUCAUCAGCAUGAAUCAAUAUAAUAUAUCAUCUAAUUAUCAGCGCGAACUAAGUAAUCAGAUAGUAAGAAGUGAUUACUUACUUGAGCAGUACAGAUGUUGCUAGUGGCUUUGUCCCUCCUAAUAUGCUGUUCUCUAGUCUGCAUAGCCAUACGCAGAGCUUGCUUUCCUGAAGAAUCAACACUAACACCGAUAAUCCUCCCUGGCAUCAUUCUCUUAUACUCUUGUGAAGUAGCCAAGAAAGCGGCAUGAGGACCACCAUAACCCAUGGGAACACCAAACCUUUGAGCGGAACCAACCACAAUAUCGGCCCCCAAUUCUCCAGGGGGUUUCAACAUAGUCAAAGCCAGCAAAUCCGUAGCCAUCACAACCUUAACACCAUUAGCAUGAGCAGUCUUGACAAACUCAGCAUAAUCCAAGACCUCACCUUCAGUUCCAGGGUACUGGACAAGAACCCCACAAACAUCACCAGAGCUGUAAUCUAUAUCCUUGAGAUCAGCGGAGAGAACUUUGAGAUCAAACCCACCGGCUCUAGUCUUGCAGAUAUCAAUAGUCUGAGGGUGACAGUUACUAGCAAUGAGAAAGGUCUUCUUUUUACCCUUUUGAAUGUUGUUACACAUGGCCAUAGCCUCGGCAGCCGCAGUCCCUUCAUCGAGGAGCGAAGCGUUCGACAUGGGAAGCCCCGUGAGGUCGGUGAUGACCGUCUGGAAAUUGAGCAGCGAUUCGAGACGACCCUGAGAGAUCUCAGCUUGAUAAGGAGUGUACUGAGUGUACCAAGCUGGGUUCUCCAUAAUGUUACGGAGAAUCACAGGAGGGACAUACGUGUUGUAGUAACCCAUCCCAAUAAAGGAUUUGAAAAUCUUGUUCUUGGAAGCCAAAUCAACCAUGUGCUCGAUCAUUUGGCUCUCGGUUAGACCUCCGUCGAAUUUGGAGAACUUCAUGGAGUCUAAUCGAAUAGAUUUGGGAACCGUAGCGUCGACGAGUGAAUCGAUAUGAUCAAAGCCACAGAACUUGGCCAUAUGGCUCUGCUCAUCUGGUGUUGCCGAGUUGUGACGACGCGGGAAGGUGUCGCCAGGUUGAAGAGCCUCGACGGAGAUGGGACGCGUCUGCUGGUGGGAGUGGUGCCUCCCGAAUGACGCGGGGGAUCGAUGGGUGGAGACGAAAGGGGAAAGAGAAGAGACAUACCUCGCCGGAGCGUGGGGAACAACAAGGUGGGGAGUUUCGGGGUUGCGGUGUCGUUUAGCCUCGUUAACGAGACGCUUGACGAUGCCUCGGUAAGCAAGUCUCCUUGCGCGCUCCAUGACUGGGUUGCACUCAGAAAACUUUAAAAAAUAAAAAACGCAGAGCGAAAGAGUAGAUUAGAUGUGUGAGGUUGAGGAAGAUGAAGGAUAGAUAUGUCUUGCUUUUUUAGUAUAUCGUAGCCAUGGAUGGUGGAGGGAAUCUGAGAGAUGAGAUGAGAUGAGAUAGAGAGAGUAUAUAAUACACACACACACACUCUCACUCACGGACCGUUGUAAAAAGAAAAAUGCGAAUGAAUGAAUGUAUAUGACGACGUCCUUAGACCAAAAUAAAGUGUGUUUAUUAUAUAGUCGAAAAUUUUCGGGAUAUUCUUUGCUCUUUUUUCUUUCUUUUGUAAGAAAAUCAGAAAAUCGCGUGGCUCUCUGUGGUUAAUGGUGAAGCUCGAGAUGGGGUUGGUGAAAAGCAUUGAGCCAAUUUGUAUUUUGUACUUAUUCCACGUGUUUUGCAUCUAAUCACUCGUACAAUAUUGUGAUAAUCUUUUGUUUUUGUUUUUUUUUUUUAAUUAUCUCUUAAUUAUUUUGUUUAUUGGUUUAGCAUUUUCCUCCAAACUAUAUAGAUUUUUAAUUACCAGCAAUAAUACAGUUUGUAGCUAGCUAGUACAAAAACUAUUAGGAGAGUAUAUGAUGUUUAAAAAUAGAAUUUUAGUGUACUUAAUAUAGCUUUCAAAUCCUAGUACUGUAAUAUAUUACAUGAUGAAGUUUUGUAAAGCCUAAUCAAUAAUUAAAACUUUUAUAUUGUGCCGUGUUUUGAUUAACGUACGUUUCGAGAUUAAUAAAUUCCGGAAAAUAUAUAAUUUAUAUUACCGUUUUUGGCCUAACUAAAAAUAUAUCUGGCCAGCAAAUCCUUACGAUAAUUACAGGAAUGAGUACUUUACGUAAAAAUGCUGUAAGAACAUCUCGAGAUAAAAUUUGAAAGGAAGAGAACUGAGGUGGAAGAGAUUGGGUAUCAGUGGACAAAAAUGUUUGUCACCUUUAUCAAAAAACCAAAAAAAAAAAAAUAUCGGAAAGAUAUAUAGCAACAAAUCAAUAUUAUAUGGCAAAGAUGAUAUAAUUAUUUUGGAUCACAUGAAUAUAUAAGAUAAACUAGGUGGCGGAAUGUGUUUCACAGAGAGUUUAUCUCAAAAAAAAAAAGAGAACUUUUGAAAAUAAAAAAAUAAAUAUUAGGGUUCGUCUUUUUCUUCAUCAUACAUGGGAACCAUCAUCGUCCUCUAACAUCUAAAUAUAUUAUUCGACAGAUAAUGAAAUAUUCUCGUUUUUUGACCUUCCAAGAAAAAUAAACCUCAAGACUUCCUUUCCUUUUGGAAAACGUAUGUUAUUCAUAAAUUUAGUUCGAACGCUUUCAUUUGUUGUUAAAGCUAAGGGUAUUCAUAAUUAUAUUACAAAAACGGAAUACACAAAGCUGUGAUUCAUGAAUUAUACAGCGUCUUUAGAGUUCAAACUAGUAGCUAGAGAGGUGAUUUAUGAUGUAUUUUAAACUAAUUAUAAGUACAUGAUCAUGUAAAAUUAAAGUCUAAAAGUUAGUAUAUAAUAUGGUAUCGUUGAUAAAGAUGAAUAGAGAUGAACUUUUACAUACGAUGUAUAGGCACGCUCGAUCGAUCACUCCAAGUCCCUGAACUUGGUACAAAAACGAAAAGCUCUAUGGUCACUUAUGAAGGCCUAGGGUUAAUGGUGUUUCAAAACUUUCUUUUGUUUUCUGGUCCAGCCAAUUCGGAUUCAUCAGUUGCAUGUACAAUCUAUUUUUUUCGUUACCAGCUAAAAAAAAAAAGGUUUAAGAAAGAUUGGACAGCGAAAAAUUGCUACCGAGUUAACAUCGUCAAAACGCCAUAUUUUUUUAAUUAACACAUAAAAAAUAGAGUAAUAAAUAUGUUGAGUCUUCUGAUUAAUUACUACGUACUUCCAUAAACAAAUCUCAACAAACAACAGCACCUCAUAAUGAGUGACAAGUCAAAUGGAUUAAAUUCCAUAUACACACAAAACCAGAAAAAAAAAAUCAAAUAACUUGAUAUAACCAAAAAAAAAGAAAGGUUAAAAGCUGAUGAUGAUCAAGCCCAAAUAGCAAGAGCAGACAUCAUCCCAGCUCCAAGAAACAAAAAGCAAUAAGAAACAACUUGAAGUUUGAAAUUUACACUCAUCUUCUUGCUCAAGAAGUCAGCAGCGAUCAAAUCCACAAGCGCCAUGUACACAAGUAUCCCCGCAGAGAGAGAGUCGAGCACUCCUUCAGCCACCAAUGCCGCAACACUGUAGGAAUUGUAGGAUGAGGCAAUGGCCGUUCCCACGGCCACACCGAUGGGAGUGGUGAUGGCGAAGAAGAAAGCCAUCAUGGCAGACCCACGAGGAGUUAGUCUUGCCUCUGCAACGCAUCCACCGAGAGCGAAACCUUCGAAGAAUUGGUGGAAGGAAAGAGCGACAAGGAGCGGACGUAUGGUGCAUGGGCUAUGUGACACUCCAAGUGAUAUUCCUAUUAUUAUUGAAUGUGAUACUAUUCCCAUUUCUAGUAUCUGAAAUAUAUAUAAGAAAAUCAGAGUAUCAUCAAUUAAUUUAUGUGCAACGAAUAUAAAAAUAUAUUUUAUAAACGGAAUCGUUUUACUAGGUCACAUAUGACACAAGAACACGUCACAAUACCACAACCAAAAACACUUAUGACUAAUAUACGAUCGCUAUUUUGUAAUCAACGAUAAAAAAAAUGACAAUAUAUACUAUUAGCUAGAAAACAGGAAAAACUAAAUUAUUAAGUUAAUGUAAUGGUACAAUACAAAAUAUCCAUCACUCGAUGCACUUGUAUACCUAAAAUGGACUAGAUUUUUCAUUUUCGAUUAACAUUACAAUUGUCUAACACAGAGCUGUUAUUUCAUUAAAACAAAGCUACCUAUAUGUUACUCCAGCUGUUAAUUAUCAUGAAAGUCAUGUACAGUUAUUAGAAUGCCAUUUAUUUACUUAUUUUAUUUUAAGAGACACUUUUAGCUGCAUUGUUUUGUGUAUAAAUAAAGUCAAAUACUUGUUUUUUUCUUUAAAAAAUCAAUAAUAAGAUCUCGAAAGCAAAAGUCAGAGCUUACUGAAAAUAAAGUCAAAGUCAGAAAUAUCAAAAGAAGAGAAAAAAGAAGCCUUAACCUGAGAAACAACAACGUGCCUUACACCACUGUCCAAGCCAACGUCCCCGUGGCCGUGUCCAUGACCGGAAACAGCGCUUCUCUUCGCGAGAGCCUCAAAACCUUCGGCACCCAUGGAGAGGCUGUGACGGUGGUGGUCCGCGUGAGCACGCAUCCCCACGAUAUGCAACGCUCCUCCAUCUUCGUCCCUCAGUAAACCCGAUUCAAGACCAGGAUCCGAAAGAAUGGAACCGUGUUGACCAAGCGACUCGACGGACCGGCUCAUCAUCUUCUCCUGCUUACUCUCGUAAUAUCCCGUGAUCAUGAAAUCCGCGAGCAGAGUGAGAAGCGCCGCGACCAUGGCGAAGAACUCUGGGAAAGGAAACAUUUUCCAGGGGAACUCCGGAAGACACGGGUCGGACAAAGCCUCAGAGCCGCCGGAGAGCAUGUGAACGAACCCUGUUGCGAGGAUCACUCCUGCUGCGAACGCUUUCGCUCCCCUCAUCAAGCCACCGUUCGACGGGAGGAGGGUUCCUCCUACAAGGGGAAUUGAGACCCCGGCGGCUCCGGCGACAAGGAUCGAAGCCAUAGCUGCAAACUUGAGUGUGAGAGCAGCCGCGUCAUCCCGACACGGGUCUGACUCUCCCGAGUCACAACUGGUUGUGAACGACUCUGUUUUGCAGUUUAAAAAAAAAACAAAAAGUUAUAAUAAUGAAGGAAUCAAGAGCAAAAACGAAGUAACUCUCCAAGGUUUUAAGUGACAUUUUAAGUUUUGAAGUAAUGAAAAGAGGACAGAGACUAUAUAUCUAUCAGAAAGCAGCAAAGUGAAGUGAGAAUACCUGUCAAUCCAGAGGAUAAUGGUCGAAGGAGCUGCCAGAAAUCCUGAAAACAUUUAGAGGCAAAAUGUGAGGAAAAAAAAGGAUUGAAGAAGCCAAGAACUUUGAAAUGGAUGAUGUGGAAGAAGUUUUCAGACCUGUAACACAGACAUUACUGUCUUGGAUGAUCAAACUUGUAGAUUUGUGUGAUUAGUGUAAAGCAACCCAGCUAUUAGGAGUUAUUAUUAUGGAGUUAUCUGUUUUUAUAAAGAAAGUUUAGGAGAAUGUCAAUCAGUGAUAGUAGUUUGUGUGUGCGUGCACGUACGUUUUUUACAAACUCACAAGUGGUUCACGAGCAUCAGAUGAGCAUACAAUGUCGUCAUUUUACCCACACCCACUCGCAUUAAAAAGCAUAUAUACUACUACAUUUACAAGAUCAAUUUUGGUCGCUAUUUAUCUAGUAUAGGCACAAUAACCCAUCAGAUGUAUAACAAAUAUAGAAGAAGAUGAGAAGUAGUAGGAGGAUGUUUUUCACAUUUUUGNNNNNNNNNNNNNNNNNNNNNNNNNNNNNNNNNNNNNNNNNNNNNNNNNNNNNNNNNNNNNNNNNNNNNNNNNNNNNNNNNNNNNNNNNNNNNNNNNNNNNNNNNNNNNNNNNNNNNNNNNNNNNNNNNNNNNNNNNNNNNNNNNNNNNNNNNNNNNNNNNNNNNNNNNNNNNNNNNNNNNNNNNNNNNNNNNNNNNNNNNNNNNNNNNNNNNNNNNNNNNNNNNNNNNNNNNNNNNNNNNNNNNNNNNNNNNNNNNNNNNNNNNNNNNNNNNNNNNNNNNNNNNNNNNNNNNNNNNNNNNNNNNNNNNNNNNNNNNNNNNNNNNNNNNNNNNNNNNNNNNNNNNNNNNNNNNNNACAGUAUUAGGCCGAAGAAUUCGGGAAGGGAAUAAAUAAGAAUAUGCUUUGGGCAUAUCUAAUGGAUUUAUUAUCUGACUCAUCCCAUCGUCUCCGGGGAGAAGAGACGAGACGAGUAAGUUCACUUCAAUUCAAAGUCUUGAAGCUUCUUCUUCCAACUCUCUCUCUCGGUCCUCUGUCCCUAAACAAGAUUCCAAAAGCGUAAGCAAUCAUCCUCUCUUAUCUCAUCUACUAUUUGAUUUCUCCCUUUUAUAACUUGACUACUUUUCGUCUAGAAGAAACUCUGAAAAUGGUUGGAAAUCAAAAUAUUUCACAGAGUUUCAGUUGGGUUUUUGUCUAAAUUUCAUGUUAGCGCCCAUCAAUGUGCGUCUUUUCUUAAUGUAUGCGACUCUGUUUACUUAUUGCUAAAGCAUAUUGUUUUGCUGAAUCUCCUCUUAUUACUUCACUUGAUGCAAUUUUCAGUCCUGGGAAGAGCUGGUUAGCCUGGUUUAGUGUGUUUGACGAGAAAGUUUCGAUUUUUAUUGAUUUAGUUUUUGGAAUUUGAUUUCGGUUUUUAAAUUAAAAAAAAAUCGAGAAAUUGGUAGAAUCCUUUUCUAGUCAUGACAUUCUCUCCUAGAUAUGUCCUGCUCUGCUGAACCAAGUUUUCUUAAUUUUUAAGUUGAUUUUGUUUUUGCAGGUGAGUGUGUUUGAUAGAAUCAAGAACAAACCUUUAAAAUGGCGCAUCUACUUUCAGCUUCAUGCCCUUCAGUUAUAUCACUUAACAGCAGCAGCAGCAGCAAGAGUUCCCUUUUAGGCCAAACCUUCUUCAAACCUCAAUGUUUUUCAAGAUCUUCUCUCAAAGGACUUCUCUUCCAAGAGAAGAAACUGAGAAGAAGCUCCGUUUUCCGAGCUACUGCUGUGCCUAUAAGCCAACAAGCACCACCCGAAACAUCAACCAAUGGUUCAUCGUCUAAGCCAAAACGUGUUAUGGUCAUUGGUGGAGAUGGUUACUGCGGUUGGGCUACUGCUCUCCACUUGUCCAAGAAGAACUACGAAGUUUGCAUCGUUGACAACCUUGUAAGGCGGCUUUUCGAUCACCAGCUUGGACUUGAGUCAUUGACUCCUAUAGCCUCAAUUCAUGACCGAAUCAGCAGAUGGAAGGCUUUGACUGGGAAAUCAAUUGAGCUAUUUGUUGGGGAUAUCUGUGAUUUCGAAUUCUUAGCUGAGUCCUUCAAGUCUUUUGAGCCUGAUUCAGUUGUCCACUUCGGGGAACAGAGAUCUGCGCCUUACUCGAUGAUAGACCGGUCCAGAGCCGUCUUUACACAGCACAACAAUGUGAUUGGGACUCUUAAUGUUCUCUUUGCCAUUAAAGAGUUCGGAGAAGAGUGUCAUCUUGUAAAACUCGGGACGAUGGGCGAGUAUGGUACUCCAAAUAUCGACAUUGAGGAAGGUUAUAUAACGAUAACGCACAAUGGUAGAACCGACACUUUGCCAUACCCCAAGCAAGCGAGCUCGUUUUAUCAUCUUAGCAAAGUUCACGAUUCGCACAACAUUGCUUUUACUUGCAAGGCUUGGGGUAUUAGAGCCACUGAUCUCAACCAGGGAGUUGUGUAUGGAGUGAAGACUGAUGAGACAGAGAUGCAUGAGGAACUCCGCAACCGAUUAGAUUACGAUGCUGUGUUUGGUACAGCACUUAACCGGUUCUGUGUGCAGGCUGCAGUUGGUCAUCCACUUACUGUUUACGGUAAAGGUGGUCAGGUAAAUGACUCUUUUAGUUGUUUUGAAAUAUAGUUUUUAAUCGAAAAGGUGAGGUUUUAAUGCAGUUUUUCUUUCUUCUCAUUGCAGACAAGAGGCUACCUCGAUAUAAGGGACACGGUUCAAUGUGUUGAGAUAGCUAUAGCUAACCCAGCAAAAGCUGGUGAGUUCCGGGUCUUCAACCAAUUCACAGAACAGUUUUCAGUGAAUGAACUGGCUUCCCUCGUCACUAAAGCGGGUUCAAAGCUGGGGCUGGACGUGAAGAAGAUGACGGUGCCAAACCCGAGAGUGGAGGCGGAAGAACAUUACUACAAUGCAAAGCACACAAAGCUGAUGGAACUUGGACUAGAGCCUCACUAUCUAUCAGAGUCACUUCUUGAUUCGUUGCUCAACUUUGCAGUUCAAUUUAAAGAUCGUGUGGACACGAAACAAAUCAUGCCAAGUGUUUCUUGGAAGAAGAUUGGCGUCAAGACCAAGUCCAUGACAGGGUAAAGUGGUGAUCAAAUAUAGAACACCUAAGGGCUAAGGCAGAUGAUAGAGAUUAUUAUGGGAGAGAUGUGUUGUUUGUUAAUCUUCAAACUUCAUUUGUGCAAAAGACUUGUUAGCUUUAAGUGGUUUUACAUUGUGCAGGUUUUCUAAUGUUAGAUGGUAAUUUCGAUAAAAUUUCUACAGUGUUUGAAAAAGGAUACAUAAAGUAAACCAAGAAUCAAAUGUGUUACGAUCGAUCAUUGUAGAGAAUCUAACGAGCUUUUCAGUAAAUACUUAUCGUACACGAAUAAAACUGUAAUUGUUUUUUUUGUAAGAUAUGAUUUUUAAUGUAGCGUAUGCUUUUAGAUCAAUCAACUGGUUUAAGAUGAAAGUAAAGUUAUAUAGUUGUACGUAUUACAUUUCUUUUGGUGUAUAUUUAAAUAUAGGAGAGUGGGGUGUUGGGGGUGGGUCUUCUUCAUCGUUGGCAAUAAUUAUUUUCUAAUGUGAGAAAAUGUCUUUUCCAAAUACGAAGGAAACUUGUGGGGUCAAAUUCAAAGGAAUCGAGUGGGUUUUUUUUAUUUAUUUUUUGUAUAAUUUAUAAUUUUUUAGCCCUAAUUAAUUAUUCUUUCUUCAAAAUUCAUUAUCUCACUUUUAGUAUACUAAUUAUUUUUUUCUUAUGUAACAAUAAAACGAUCUGAGUGCAACAUUAUCAAAAGGAUCUUGCUCUUAAGAUUUACUCGUUAAAGCAAGAUACUUUUCUAUUUAAAUCUUAGAGGUAAAAUCCCCUUAAUAAUAUUAGUCUUAUAUUUUAUGUUUAAGAAAACCCAUUUCUUUGUUUGACGAAAAACCUCAUAGUUACCUUAUUUUGUAACAAUGAUCACAUAAUUAAUAAGUCAUCCAUAGUAAACACUAUUCAGUUGAAGUUUAACUGAAAACAAAACAGUAACUAGUGUUUAAGUAUUAAAAGCGUGGGAGCUUUUGUUUUGGUGAAGAGGCACUCAGUUUUUUUUCUUUUUUCUUUUUUCUCUGUAUUUUAUUGCAAAUAUUUAAAGGGAUAUCAUUAAAACAUUUGAUGGAGAGAUUGUUGGUUAUGAUUGAUGAGGUCAUCUUCGCCAUCAGUAUUCAUCAACUUGUCAAUUAAAUAUAUAUGCACAAAAAAAAGCAUAACCUUAAUUUUGAAGACAUGUCACAUGAUCUCACACAUACAUCUUAAAUCCCACAACUACCAUAUUAUUCUUGUAUAGGUCGGCAAUUCUUUUUCUUUUCUUUCUUUUUUCUAAAAAACUUUGGAUGUAUAAAUUUAUUUGCUUACACACUUUACAGCAUGGUUUUGUAAUUUGAAAUUCUAAAGUUUAUUUGUGAAAGUUAUCCGUACCCUUAGUUAAUGAUAAUUUCGGUUAAAAAUAAUAAUUUUAUGAUUAGGUAUGUAUAUGGUCUUAUCAGAUUAAACCUUUUGUAUGUGUACUUCCAUAUAUUCAUCAGAAUCUUCUUUUCACAGAACCCAAAACAUUACAAAUAAAAUAACACAGACUAUGUUCAGGCCUUAUGUAUGUGUACUUGUAGGACUUUUGUGGACGAGAUUGGAAAGAUAACAAUGCAUGCUCAAAUUCUGCCUUUAUAGCCGAUAUAUAAGUUAGUCAGUCGUGUGUGCUUGUGGUCACAAGUGACUAGGCCACGUGUACUCGCAUGGCUUUUGUGGUACAAAAUGGUGCAUUGCAUCAUAUAUAUCAUAUAUAUGUUUGUUCGCAAGCAUGUAUGAUUGAUUGGUUACAGCUUUUUGUACUAAUAAAUAAAAGAUGUGGGAGUUUGUUGGAUAAUAGAAUAACUUAGUGUUUGUGUCUAGUGACUAGUGCGAACUGAAAAGGAAUUGACGGUCUUCGUUAAAAUGAUUAGUUGUUGAACGCAUGUAUAUAUUAUAUGUACUUACGUAGAUAUGCUACGGACUGAUUUGGUCUCCUGACGUGAAAGAGAGACUAGUGAUUUAUCAUGUGUUGUUAUAUAUUUGGAAUCUUUGAGGAGAUUGAAUCAGAGUAUUUGUAAACACACAAAAAUGUGACCAUAUUAUGUAGUCUAGUGGUAGAUUAAUAUCUAUCAUUUAAGCAUCGCACAGAAGACAGUUAUUGGUGUAGCAACCAAACCAUCCGAAGCUCUUGAUCUUGGUAAAAAUAGCAGUGUGUGUGUGUGUG